UCUGCAGCCCUGUGGAGCCGCCCCUUGCAAAGACUGUUGCCUGAGGGUACGACAGGGCUGCACAAAGCAACUCAAAGAAUGAAAAGGCGUGACUCCUGGAGGCUCAGGAGCUUCACGUGCGAUGUUCCUUGGACAGACCCCUGCCUUCCACGGUGGUGAUCGUCUCUCUCUGUAGCCGUCACCUUUCUUGAGGCAGGUAGAGGAAAACCAGGCAGCCAGAUAUUGUUUGCAUCAGGACAAGGUCUUCCUGUCAGACACUGUCAGCUGUCACAGUA
RNAcentral lists this small nucleolar RNA (275 nucleotides) under Mastacembelus armatus (zig-zag eel). Lineage: Eukaryota; Metazoa; Chordata; Actinopteri; Synbranchiformes; Mastacembelidae. The record is from RNAcentral.